RNAcentral lists this ribosomal RNA (1400 nucleotides) under uncultured bacterium. Its description in RNAcentral is "bacterial SSU rRNA". It matches the Rfam family "Bacterial small subunit ribosomal RNA". The record is from RNAcentral.
UUAGAGUUUGAUCCUGGCUCAGGAUGAACGCUAGCGGCAGGCUUAACACAUGCAAGUCGAGGGGCAGCGAGAUCAGUGCUUGCACUGAUUGUCGGCGACCGGCGCACGGGUGCGUAACGCGUAUGCAACCUACCCAUUACAGGGGGAUAACACUGAGAAAUCGGUACUAAUACCCCAUAACAUCCAGGGAGGCAUCUUCUUGGGUUGAAAACUCCGGUGGUAAUGGAUGGGCAUGCGUUGUAUUAGUUAGUUGGUGGGGUAACGGCUCACCAAGACAACGAUACAUAGGGGGACUGAGAGGUUAACCCCCCACAUUGGUACUGAGACACGGACCAAACUCCUACGGGAGGCAGCAGUGAGGAAUAUUGGUCAAUGGACGCAAGUCUGAACCAGCCAUGCCGCGUGCAGGAAGACGGCUCUAUGAGUUGUAAACUGCUUUUGUACGAGGGUAAACGCAGAUACGCGUAUCUGUCUGAAAGUAUCGUACGAAUAAGGAUCGGCUAACUCCGUGCCAGCAGCCGCGGUAAUACGGAGGAUUCAAGCGUUAUCCGGAUUUAUUGGGUUUAAAGGGUGCGUAGGCGGUCGGAUAAGUUAGAGGUGAAAUCCCGGGGCUCAACUUCGGAAUUGCCUCUGAUACUGUUCGGCUAGAGAGUAGUUGCGGUAGGCGGAAUGUAUGGUGUAGCGGUGAAAUGCUUAGAGAUCAUACAGAACACCGAUUGCGAAGGCAGCUUACCAAGCUACUUCUGACGUUGAGGCACGAAAGCGUGGGGAGCAAACAGGAUUAGAUACCCUGGUAGUCCACGCGGUAAACGAUGAUAACUCGUUGUCGGCGAUACAGUGUCGGUGACUAAGCGAAAGCGAUAAGUUAUCCACCUGGGGAGUACGUUCGCAGGAAUGAAACUCAAAGGAAUUGACGGGGGCCCGCACAAGCGGAGGAACAUGUGGUUUAAUUCGAUGAUACGCGGGGAACCUUACCCGGGCUUGAAAGUUAGUGACGGAUCUUGAAAGAGGUCUUCCCUUCGGGGCACGAAACUAGGUGCUGCAUGGUUGUCGUCAGCUCGUGCCGUGAGGUGUCGGGUUAAGUCCCAUAACGAGCGCAACCCCUACCGUUAGUUGCCAGCAGGUCAAGCUGGGCACUCUGACGGGACUGCCGGUGUAAGCCGAGAGGAAGGUGGGGAUGACGUCAAAUCAGCACGGCCCUUACGUCCGGGGCUACACACGUGUUACAAUGGCGUAAACAGAGGGAGGCGAAAGUGAGAGCUGGAGCGAACCCCAAAAAUAACGUCUCAGUUCGGAUUGUAGUCUGCAACUCGACUACAUGAAGCUGGAAUCGCUAGUAAUCGCGAAUCAGAAUGUCGCGGUGAAUACGUUCCCGGGUCUUGCACACAAGGCCCGUCAAG